CCAAAGGCUCUUUUAAGGGCCACCCACCUUUGCACGGAAAGAGCUU
Non-coding RNA from Pelodiscus sinensis (Chinese soft-shelled turtle), 46 nucleotides. The record is from Rfam. Lineage: Eukaryota; Metazoa; Chordata; Testudines; Trionychidae.